UGUAGCUAGUUUCAGUAGAGAAGAAAGUUUUUAAAGAUGGUUUACAGAAUCUUUGGAGAGGCCAGGAAAUCAGACAUGGAGGCCUCACGGCCAAGAAAAAUAUUGAAUUCACACCUUUGCUGGGUGAGGGCCUUCAGUCCUUGAGCAGGGCUGAGCAGAGGACACUUAUAGCUAUAAACCCCAUCCCACUCCAAUCUGCCAUGCUACACCAACCUGUGCCAGUAUGAAGGAGGUAUGAGCAGUCUCCUUUCCUCUUCCCAAACUCAGUCUUGUUUGGAGGAGUCUGAUGAGCCUAACCUAGCCUCCAUGUCUGAGGCUGGGAAAGUCCAUCCUGGUUUUGACGAUGGGAUGCAAGACUCACAAAGAGGGAAAGUCCAAAAAUAGCAUGAGAUUUUUAAUAGCUGGUGGCCAGAGAGCACGACAAACCUACUACAACCCAAGAAUAUAUGGUGCUAAGUUGCUUCAGUUGUGUCUGACUCUGUUCAACCCUAUGGGCAACAGCCUGCCGUGUUCCUCUGUCUAUUCUCUAGGGCAAGAAUACUGGGAUUCUCCAGGCAAGAAUACUGGAGUGGGUUGCCAUGUCCUCCUCCAGGGGAUCUUCCCAACCCAGGGACUGAACCCAUGUCUCUUACAUCUCCUGUAUUGGCAAGCAGAUUCUUUACCACUUGUGCCACCUGGGAAGCCCAAGAACGCAUGGUACCUGGGACCUAAUGAAAGCUCAAGAAAAUGCACUUACUAUUGUUACCACAGGACUCUGAUUGGUGGUAGCCUCCUGACUUCUGGUUGAGUUUUCCAAUGAGGAGCAUCAGCAGGACUGAAGACAUUAUAUCUUCCCAGGCUCUUUUCUUGCAGAGUGCACUUUGGGCUAGUUGCAUGCCUCGACCCAAAGGUCCAUGCUGCUGCUGCUGCUGCUAAGUCGCUUUAGUCGUGUUCGACUCUGUGCGAUCCCAUAGACGGCAGCCCACCAGGCUCCCCCAUCUCUGGGAUUCUCCAGGCAAGAACACUGGAGUGGGUUGCCAUUUCCUUCUCCAAUGCAUGAAAGUGAAAAGUGAAAGUGAAGUCACUCAGGUUGUCUACUUGAAAGUUAUACAGUCAUGUCCGACUCCUAGCGACCCCAUGGACUGCAGCCUACCAGGCUCCUCCGUCCAUGAGAUUUUCCAGGCAAGAGUACUAGAGUGGGGUGCCAUUGCCUUCUCCGCCAAAGGCCCAUAAGUUUACAACAUUGUCAAUAAGUGAUAGUAAGUAGUGGGAAAGAAGAAUAAACUCCAUGUUUGUUUGCUUGUUUAAUAAUUUGAUUGGAGUAUAGUUGAUUUACAAUAUUGUGUUGUUUCAGGUUACAGUGAAGUGAUUUAUUUAGUUAUUCAUAUACUUGGGCUUCCCUGGUAGUUCAGACAGUAAAGAAUCCAUCUGCAAUGCAGAAGAGCUGGGUUUGAUCCCUGGGUAGGGAAGAUCCUCUGGAGAAGGGGAUGGCAACCCACUCCAGUAUGCCUGGAGAAUUCCAUGGGCAGAGGAGCCUGGCAGGCUAUAGUCCAUGGGGUUGCAAAGAGUCAGAUGUGACUGAGCAACGAUGCACACACACACACACACACACACACACAUAUUCAUAUAGUUAUUCCUUUUCAGAUUCUUUUAUCAUACAGGUUAUCACAGAAUAUUGAGUAGAGUUCCCCGUGCUAUAUAGCAGGUCCUUGUUGGUUGCCUAUUUUAUACAACAGUAUAUGUAGGUUAGUCAAAAUCUCCUGGCUUAUCUGU
This is a long non-coding RNA of Bos taurus (domestic cattle), 1752 nucleotides long. Lineage: Eukaryota; Metazoa; Chordata; Mammalia; Artiodactyla; Bovidae. The record is from Ensembl.